AUUGAACGCUGGCGGCAUGCUUUACACAUGCAAGUCGAACGGUAACAGGCCGCAAGGUGCUGACGAGUGGCGCACGGGUGAGUAAUGCAUCGGAACGUGCCCAGUCGUGGGGGAUAACUACUCGAAAGAGUAGCUAAUACCGCAUACGAUCUAUGGAUGAAAGCGGGGGACCGUAAGGCCUCGCGCGAUUGGAGCGGCCGAUGUCAGAUUAGGUAGUUGGUGGGGUAAAGGCUCACCAAGCCAACGAUCUGUAGCUGGUCUGAGAGGACGACCAGCCACACUGGGACUGAGACACGGCCCAGACUCCUACGGGAGGCAGCAGUGGGGAAUUUUGGGCAAAGGGCGCAAGCCUGAUCCAGCAAUGCCGCGUGCAGGAAGAAGGCCUUCGGGUUGUAAACUGCUUUUGUACGGAACGAAACGGCUCUGGUUAAUACCCGGGGCUAAUGACGGUACCGUAAGAAUAAGCACCGGCUAACUACGUG
Molecule: ribosomal RNA, 482 nt
Filed under: uncultured bacterium
Lineage: Bacteria
Description: partial 16S ribosomal RNA
Rfam family: Bacterial small subunit ribosomal RNA
Source: RNAcentral